ACCAUUUUUAUUGCCAACUUUCUGUGCUUUGAAUCUCAUUCCCCUCUCUCUCGUUCUGAUAUUGUCUCGAAGUAAAACACACUUCGUUGAGUUCGUUGGAACUCCUGCAGAUUGCAGUGCUGCUUCCGUAGGAGACGAAAAUUAGUUCUAUCCUGAAAAAGAUUGCUAGACGCUUUUAGCACCAUUGAAGGCAGCAAAUUCGUUUUAAGGAAAUAUCGUCAAGUCGGUGGGCUCGAAUUACUUUUUGGAUCCUGUUGAUCAAUUCUUUACAUUCGGGUGAUUCUGUCGGAUUGAUUUCGAAGGAAUAACGUUAAACUCUAGGAACAACAGCAUUUUCUUAACAAAUUUACUGACAGCUCACAGAACCCCAGAAUAAAAAAUCGUCAAAUACUUUGAUCAAGAAAAAAAUCUAGCACAAUUCAAUUAUGUAACCACCACUAUCCGAUCAAAUUGAAAAAGCCCAGUUAAUUCAAAUUCAAAAAAUUGAAGAAACAAGAAUAUUAAACAAACCAGAAGACCAAGAUAAUUAUGUAAACAUGUUGGGGAAGCAGUACCAGGAAUAAAAUCAGUUUGCAAAGACCGAUAUGAACGAGUUAACUCGAAUUCAAAGUGAGUAUGAUGAGCGAGAAAUUAUUGGGAGUGCCUAUAGAUUCCAGAGGGACUUGAAGGAUAUAAAUGAAGGAAAAAAAGAAAAAAGAAAAAAAAAAGAUGAUGGUAGAAAUAAGGAAAGUUUUAAUUUCUCUGCGGUUCACAACUUUUUAAAUAUUACAAAUUAAUACCAUAUUGGUAACAAAUAGGAAAUAUAGGGUAGGUUUGUGAAUUAACUUACUAUAAUAAUAAUAAUAAUAAGAGUCCCUUUAUAUUUACGUCACUUGAUGGUUGGGGGUUUUUUGAUUUGAAAAUAGAAAGACCUAUGCAGGUAGAAGUUGAAAUCGACACUUCUCCUUAUGCUUGUUGAUUUGUUUGAAGAAAAAAAAAAACGUUUGGAAGAAGCAAAUUUCAAGCAUCAACAAGCUUCAUCCUGAUUAUUGAUAUUUUACCAUUAGUCACGUUACUCGUUACCGGAUGUUCCACCAUAAACAUCCAUACAUGAAGUAAACACAAAUUUUUUUGCUCAC
This 1118-nucleotide long non-coding RNA is filed under the name Olea europaea subsp. europaea. Lineage: Eukaryota; Viridiplantae; Streptophyta; Magnoliopsida; Lamiales; Oleaceae. The record is from RNAcentral.